RNAcentral lists this ribosomal RNA (195 nucleotides) under Triticum aestivum (bread wheat). RNAcentral describes it as "partial small subunit ribosomal RNA". Lineage: Eukaryota; Viridiplantae; Streptophyta; Magnoliopsida; Poales; Poaceae. The record is from RNAcentral.
AUGCGGUGGCGGAGGGAGUGGAGGUCGCCGCCGGGGCAGAACUCCACGACAACGCAGGAGAAGCGCGGGGCGGCGUCGAAGUCGGCGAAGAGCGUGGGGAGGAACGGGUGGUCGAGCAGCCGCAGGAUGCGCUUCUCGGCAGCCGCCCGCUCCAGCUUGUGCUUCUUGGCCACGGCGCGCCGGUCCACCACCUUC